This 468-nucleotide ribosomal RNA is filed under the name uncultured bacterium. RNAcentral describes it as "partial 16S ribosomal RNA". It matches the Rfam family "Bacterial small subunit ribosomal RNA", at positions 28 to 507 of the family's 1533-position model. The record is from RNAcentral.
GAUGAACGCUGGCGGCGUGCUUAACACAUGCAAGUCGAACGGAAAGGCCAGUGCUUGCACUGGUACUCGAGUGGCGAACGGGUGAGUAACACGUGGGUGAUCUGCCCUGCACUUCGGGAUAAGCAUGGGAAACUGGGUCUAAUACCGGAUAGGAGAAUGGUUUGGAUGCCGUUGUGGAAAGAGUUUUGGGGGUGGGGUGUGCUCGCGGCCUAUCAGCUUGUGUGUGGGGGAAUGGCCUAUACAGGCGCCGAGGGGUAGAGCGCGCGUGAGGGGGUACGGCCACAUUUUGGGCGUGAGACGGCCCCGACUCCCACGCGGGGGAGCAGUGGGGGAUAUUGCACAAUAUGCGCGAGACUCAGGCAGCGACGCCGCGUGUGGGAUGACGGCCUUCGCGUUUUAAACUCCUUUCGCUAGUGACACAGCGUGUUUGUGACGGUACCUGGUGAAGAAGCACCGGCUAACUACGUG